This 322-nucleotide unclassified non-coding RNA is filed under the name soil metagenome. Its description in RNAcentral is "partial contains 5.8S ribosomal RNA, internal transcribed spacer 2, and large subunit ribosomal RNA". The stretch from base 1 to 119 matches the Rfam family "5.8S ribosomal RNA", at positions 35 to 154 of the family's 154-position model. The record is from RNAcentral.
GAUGAAGAAGUAGCGAAAUGCGAUAAGUAAUGCGAAUUGCAGAAUUCAGUGAGUCAUCGAAUCUUUGAACGCACAUUGCGCCCUGUGGUAUUCCGCAGGGCAUGCCUGUUCGAGCGUCAUUUCAACCCUCAAGCUCUGCUUGGUGUUGGGCCCUGCCCGCUGCGGCCGGCCCUAAAGACAGUGGCGGUGCCGCCUGGCCCUGAGCGUAGUACAUCUCUCGCUCCAGUGCCCGGUGGUAGCCUGCCAGAACCCCAACUCUCGUGGUUGACCUCGGAUCAGGUAGGGAUACCCGCUGAACUUAAGCAUAUCAAUAAGCGGAGGA